Oncorhynchus tshawytscha (Chinook salmon) is the source of this 1786-nucleotide long non-coding RNA. NCBI's taxonomy places the organism in Eukaryota, Metazoa, Chordata, Actinopteri, Salmoniformes, Salmonidae. The record is from Ensembl.
AAUUAAUUAUUAACGCUAGCAUCAGCUAAUUUUGAUAUUAAAUAUUGUGUUAGUUUACCCCACAGUUGUGUCUACUUCCAAUCUGUAGCCUGAUUCAGCAUCAAGCUGUCAAGAUCAGGAUGGUCCAAUGAGGCUAGUCUAUCUGUUUAAAAUGAUUUCUCUGCUACUCUCAGCAUCAGAACAAACUGAACAUUGCAUCAUCUUACUCUCCAGUUUUAUCAGGUGUCCCUUUGUCAGUUGUUUUUGGUAUUGCUGCUCUGGCUGACGGUAAAAUGAGCAAUGCUGUGAGCUGACACUAGAGGGCAAAGUAAAAUAAGCACAGUUCUGAGCUGACACUAGAGGGCAAAGUAAAAUGAGCAGUUCUGUGAGCUGACACUAGAGGGCAAAGUAAAAUGAGCAGUGCUGUGAGCUGACACUAGAGGACAAAGUAAAAUGAGCAAUUCUGUGAGCUGACACUAGAGGGCAAAGUUGAACUAAUAAUAAUGAUCAUUAUUUUUAUCGCGCUUUUCAAUUCAAGUAACUGCUUCAUAUCAUAAAAUUAUUAAAUAAAAGUACUAACAAAGAAACAAAGACAGGAGGAAGUAACAUUUAAAAGAUAUCUAAUUCAAGUCAUAGAUAGCUAAUCAAAAGAUUUCUCAUUAAUAUCAUACAAAUAAUACUAACUUUAACUAGGAUACCGUACUUCAAUAACAGGUACAGUGAGUGAUACUGUACUCCAGUCAAGACUGAAACUAUCCUCAAACACUCAUACUACUGUACAAACAGUGGCAAAAUAUGAUCCACCAUUUUGAGUAACGCCAGCUUACUCCACUUGUAUUCCACUUGUGUAGUGAGACAGUCAAAUGUAAGAGCAUAAGAGAUUGUACAGACUUACAAUCUAAUCCAUCUGAGUUGUUGUUUACUAUAGAAACAGAUUUACACGCAACAACCGAGCUGUUUACCUAGCUAGCACAGAACGUGCAGAACUCACGUACACACUAAGGCCCGAGCCCCAAAAUAGCACCCUGUUCCCUAUAGAGUGCACUACCUUUGACCCGCCCCAAUAGGGAAUAGGGUGCCAUUUGGGACGUAGACUAACUCUGUCCCCACAUAAAUACACUUCAGCUCCCUCUGGAGAGUGAGCAAAUACUCCCUUGACUCCAUGCCAGUCUCCAUGCCAGUUUCCUUGCCAGUCCUAUGUUUGCUGUACCAAUCUGCCAGCCCAUGUCUGUCACUGCUCCAGUAGGCACACCUGUGUGUGUGUGCACAUAGAUGUGUGUGUGUGUGGGCGUGUAUGUCCUGCCAUCUGGGCACUCCCUACCCCACACUCACCCCACUUCCUGUCUCACACACCCUACCCAGCCUUCUCCAGGAACAUCCAGUACAGGGCUGCAGGACCUGUCUGUCUGGUUAUGUGGACAAACAAAGUCAGUCAGUGGUCUACUCACAGAGACAUACUGUAUCUACAGUAGAUAGACGGAUGGGGAGAGACCGUGACUGAGACCAAGACAGAAACCAAGACAGAAACCGAGACCAAGACAGAGGCCAAGACAGAGACCGAGACAUAGACCCAGAUCGAGACCAAGACAGAGAUCAAGACAGAGACAGAGACCAAGACAGAGACAGAGACCAAGACAGAGACCAAGACAGAAACCAAGACAGAGACAGAGACCAAGACCAAGACCAAGACAGAGACCCAGACCGAGACCAAGACAGAGACCAAGACAGAGACCCAGACCGAGACCCAGACCGAGACCAAGACAUAGACCGAGACCAAGACCAAGACAGAGACCGAGACAGAGACCAA